This 16595-nucleotide long non-coding RNA is filed under the name Homo sapiens (human). Its description in RNAcentral is "HSALNT0072381". Lineage: Eukaryota; Metazoa; Chordata; Mammalia; Primates; Hominidae. The record is from RNAcentral.
GUCAACAAGCUUGACAGAGUGUAUACAUUGAACAUUGCGUCCACCAAUAGAAAAACAAACAUUCUUUUUAAGCAGACAUGGAAUAUUGAUGGAAACUGACCAUAUGCUAGGCCUAAAUUCAUACUUAUUGUGAUAGCUUUGUAAUGUGUCAGUUUGGCUAGGCUGAACUACCCAUCUCAGACUUCCCUUUCUUCUGUGUUUCCAGUUAGCAUGAGCCACGUGUCAUGCUAUUCUGGAAGGCAGGAAGAAAGCAAAAGCCAUUUUGUAGCUCACACACUUCGUUGCUGAUCUGCAAACUCACCUUGGAAUAAAGCAGAGCUGGGCCUCAAUUAUUCCCCUUUUCUCCUGGAUCUUCCUUCAGUGUCACUGACUCCUGGACCAGAUUUGCUGCUCAGUCAUAAUAGGAUGUCAGCGGCCUUCAGUGCCUACAUCUUCCCGCAUCCCAUGAACUCACGUGGGAAAUACCUGGAGCCCAGAUCUUCCUGAGAGAGCUGCGGAAAAACCUGACACCUGCUCAGGGCUUUUUCAUAAUCAAAGGUAAUGACAGAGAAAAUGAAUAUGCCACUUUCUCCCACUGUCAGCUUAUUUUUAUUGUGCUCCAUUUUCAAAUCCUGGGGGUGCAUGUGGCAGGUAAAUGUCUUUUGUGUGUGUAUGUUUUGAUAAAAGAAAGAUAAGGCCACGCAGUAAGAUCCUAUACCCAAGGGAUUCUAGUGACAUGAUGGACACUUUAAUCUCCAUAUUUCUGGUCCCUACCGACCGUGAGUAAUAAAGGUGUUAGAAUAUCCUGAUUUAAAGCUUCUCUCCAUUCAUAACUGGGUGUGCCUAUUCAUAGAACCCUGGUCUAUUUGGGGAGCAAAUAAAAACUUGCCAUGACCAAGACAAGGCGGUGAGAGUCAUGGACAGGAAGCUGCCUCCUGCCUCCAGCUUUGAUGAGGAGAGAAGCAUCAUCAGACCCUCCAGCUGAGAGGGACUCUACUUCUUCUGUGCUGCCCUUGGUUGAAGACGUGGUGCACCCCCGCCUCAGUCACUAGCCGCAGGCCUUCUGGAAACAAAAAGGAUGGAGGUUGAUGAUUAGGACAAAGAGAGAUGACAGAAACAGAAGGCUGCAGUGUGGAGGCAAAGGAUCUAAAUAGAAAACAUUAAAGAAGUCUCACUCCGAUGAAUGAGGCCGAGCCUGCAGCUCAAGGAAACCCUGGAGACUGCAUAGGGUGUUGGAAGAAAGAAUCUCAGAAGAAAGAAAUCUUCCCAUGAAGAGAGAACAUCAAUUUCCAAGCCAGCAAGGGCGAGCUGGGGCCUCAGGAAGGAGGGGUGGGGUGGAGAGUGAACAGAUCCACACACUGGUAAGGUAGAUGAAUAAGAGAGAAACACCUAAAGCUUGCCCGAAAGCAAAGUCCUUGACCAGGUUUUUGUUCUGUGGAGGUCCCUUAAAACAACCCUGACUGGAGUUUUCUUUAACUGGCCCUGAGGGGAGAAAAAUGCCAGGACUCACCAAUGGAUGUUUCUCAAAUGCAAAGAAUCCUUCCAGUGGUCGUCUAUGUGUAGUGACGUGGGCAGCCCUGAUAUGAUCUGAGGGGUGCAGCGCAGUGGUUCCUCCCACACAGAUUCUGGCUCUGGCCCCAUCCUGGUUUUUGAACACCUAUCUACAUAACCUGCUAUGGAGUAAAGGUAUUGUUUGCCCAACACGCCUGUUGAAAGGCAAGUGUCCCUGGUAGGGUAAUCCAUUAGCAUUGGCAGGUCCUUCAGCAUAGAUGUGUGUCUCAGAUUAGAGGACUAGAAAGGCCUGGAAGUUGGGGAGAGUUAGUCUGAUAUGGAACAUUAGAGAGGAAUAGAGAAGGAGGGGAAGGAGAGAGGAGGGCAAAAGGGAGAGCAUUUUGACCAGCAUUUGGCCUUGAGACAGAAGGGGCUGAGUGAGGAUGAGAGCAGAAAUUUAAAUGGGAAGGUGUGGGGGCCCCUAAGGGGUUACUGUUUCUUCCACAAGCUACCAGGGCCAGACUCAUUCUUUCCUAAGGGCUCUCAUUCUUCCUCAAGCCCACUGGUGAAUUCACCUUUGAGUAUAGGCCAAAAGAGGAGACAACUCACUUCCUUUUAAUUAUUGAAACAAUAAUGUAAUAGCACCAUCAUUAAGCACUGGUUCUUAACUUGGGAGGGAGGUGAUCAUCGAACUCCUCUGAGAAUCUGAUGAAAGCUGUGCUCGUACUUCUCAAAAAAAUAAACAUAUGCACAGCCACACAAAAUAUGGUAUGUUUUCACUUGUUUUAUGGACACUGUGGGGGCCCAUCUCUGGGUCCCAUGAGAGGCCAUUGUCUCCUAGCUAAAAUGCUUUGAUUUAUUCUUUAAUAAUCCUAACACAGAGGUUUCAUUUUUGUGCAUUUAUUCUAAGCCCUCUUCCUUAUGCAUGCAUAAUUGUUACAGUGCAAUCAUAAUCUACAUACAAUUUAUGUGUUCUACUUUAUAAAAUCUAACAUUAUCUGGUAAACAUUUUUCUAUGUUGUUAUAUAUUCUUCACAAUUAUAAAUUUGAAUGAAUAUAUAAAAUUGUAUUGAAUUGUUGCAGUAUAAUUUUCUUAACUGUUCCUUAAUGACUAGGUGUUUAAAUGGCUUCUAAUUUUGUAGUAUAGAUAAUGCUACACUGAAUAUCCUUAUCCAUUUAUCUUGCUUCUGUUGAAUGUUUCCUUGAGAAAAAUUCCUACCCUUUACAAAAUCAAAGUGUAAGAAUAUUUUUAUGGGUCUUAAAAGAUGAUGUGAUAUUGCUUUCCAAAGAAGUUAUAAUUUUGGGUACCGCCAAUAGUAUACAAGUGUCCCAAUUUCCCCAAAUCUUUACCUAUAAUGGGUACUAUUAUUGAAUUUUUUUCUAAUUUAAUAGUUUUCAAAGCAUCAAGAAGAUAGUCUGAUGUUUGGUUGCCAAGGGGUGAAGUGGAGAAUGAGAAGAGUGUACUGGGAGGAUGGGGAAGUCUGGUCUAUAAUGGGAAUGGAUAAAGCUUCUAAGCUUUUCAGUAACAACUGGAACCAAGCAGGCUAUAUGAGUUAAGGAGCAGCACUCACGGACUUAGUAAACAGUACAUUCCCACUUUCUGUCCAAUCCCUUUUCAAGCUUCCACUUCUAAAUUUUAUCAGUCAAAAUGGAAACUGGGAGCUAGGGUUUGAUCAGGACCAACAGGGUUACUGUGGGUCACUUUGUAAGGCUACUGUGAUAUGGUAACAGUAUGGUUUAUCCUCAGGAUGUCAUUGUCUCUAAAAAAUUGCCUUGUGCUCCAUAGCAGCACUAUCCAAUAGAAACAUAAUGCAAGCCACAUAUACGUAGUUUUCAGUUUUCCAGUAGCCACACUAAAGAAAAAAAGUAAAAAGAAACAAAUGAUCCUCCUGACCUCAAAAUAUAUUACAAAGCUACAGUUGUUAAAACAUGGUACUAGCAUAAAGACAGACAUACACACCAAUGGAACAGAAUAGAAAGCUCAGAAAUAAACUCACAGGUAUACAUUCAACUGAGCUUUGACAAGGGUGUCAAGAAUAUAUAAGAGGGAAUGGACAGUAUCUUCAACAAAUGUUGUUGGGAAAACAGGAUAUCCACAUACAAAAUAAUGAAAUUAAAUCUUUAUCUUACUGUAUGCAUAAAAAUUAAUUCAAAAUUGAUUAAAGACUCAAACGUAAGACCUGAAACCAUAAAACUCCUAGAGAGAGGAAAAGCUUUAGUACACUGGGCUUGCUAAUAAUUUCUUAGAUAUGAUACCAAAGUACAAACAACAAAAGCAAAAUUGUACAAUGUGACUACAUGAAACUAAAAAGCUUCUGUACAACAAAGGAAACAAUUAACAGAAUGAAAAGGCAGCCUACAGAAAGGGAGAAAGUAUUUUCUAUAUAUAUAUUGAUAAGGGAUUAACAUCCAAAAUAAAUAAGUUCCUACGACUUAGUAGCAAAAAACCAAAUAAUCUGAUUUAAAAACAGGCAAACAGGCAAAGGACUUGAAUAGAAAUUUCUCCAAAGAAGACUUACAAAUGGCCAACAGGUGUAUGAAAAGAUGCUCAACAUCACUAAUCAUCAGGGAAAUGUGAAUCAAAGCCACAGUGAGAUAUCACCUCACACCCAUUGAUAUGGUUAUUGUCAAAAACAAAACAAGGCUGGGAGUAGUGGCUCACAUGUGUAAUGCCAGUACUGUGAGAGGCCAAGGCAGGAGGAUCACUUGAGGCCAGAAGCUCAAGACCAGCCUGAGCGAAACAGUAAGACCCCGUCUCUUCAAAAAAUUAAAAAAUUAGCUGGGCAUGGUGGUGUGCCCGUAAAAUCUCAGCUACUUGGAAGGCUGAGGUGGGAGGAUCGCUUGAGUCCAGGAGUUCGAGGCUGCAGUGAACUAUGAUCACACCACUACACACCAGCCUGGGUGACAGAGCAAGACCUUGUCUCAAAAAUAAAUAAAUAAAUCAGACAAAAAAGAUUAAAAUGUUGGUGAGACUGUGGAGAAAUUGGAAUUUUUAUAUACUGUUAGUGGGAAUGUAAAACAGUGCAGCCAAUAUAGAAAACAGUAUAAAGUUUCCUCAAAAAAUAAAAAAUAGAACUACCAUAUGUUCCAGCAAUUCCACUACUGGGUAUAUCCCAAAAGAAUUGAAAUUAGAAUCUUGCAGGGAUAUCUGUACUCCCAUGUCCAUUGCAGCAGUAUUAGCAAUAGCCAAGACAUGGAAGCAACCAAAAUGUUCACUGGCAGAUGAAUGGAUAAAAAAAUAUGGUAUAUAUAUACAAUGGAAUAUUAUUCAGCCUUUAAAAAGAAGAAAAUCCUGUCACUUGAGACAACAUGGAUGAACCCGGAGGACAUUAUGCUAAGUGAAAUGAGCCAGUCACAGAAGACAAAUACUGCAUGAUUCCACUUCUAUGAGGUACCUAAAAUAGUCAGACUCACACAAGCAGAAAAUAGAAGUGACUACCAGGAGCUGAGCUGGGGGGAGUAGGUUGGGACUUGUUCAGUUGAUAUAAAGUUUUGGUUAUGCAGGAGAAAUAACUUCUAGAGAUCUGCUGUACAGCAUAGCACCCAUAGUGAAUGGUACUGUAUUAUGCCCUUAAACAUUUGUUAUGAGGUUAGAUCUCAUGUUAAGCACUCUUGCCAAAAACAAACAACACAAAACAAAGAAAAAGGAAAAAAACAGUGGAGGGAGGACACAGGGAAACUUUUAAAGGUGAUGGAGAUGUCUAUUACCUUGAUUGUGGUGAUAGUUUUAUAGGUGUAUGCAUAUGUCCAAACUCUUCAAAUUAUAUGCAUUAAACGUACAUAGUUUUAAUAUAUCAAUUAUAUCUCAAUAAAACUAUUAAAAAACAAAUCAAAUUAACUUCAGUACUAUAUAUUAUUUAACCUGUCAUAUAUUUAAAAAUAUCAUUUCAGCAUGUAAUCAACAUAAAAAUUAUUAAGUAUUUUCACAGUCCUUUUUUCAUACUAAACCUUUGGAAACUGUUGCAUAUUUUAUACUAACAACACAUCCCAGUUCGAGACACCUAUAUUUCUAGUACUCAGUUGCCACAUGUGGUCAUGGCCACUGUAGUAGACAGUGCAGCUCUGUGGCCUCAGCCCACAGAGAUGAGCCUAGGAUGCUUUGCAUUGCAGAACUGUCUUUCUCUUAACGCUUGAGCUAUUGGGAAAUCAGAGCCAUGUUAUUUAUCAUGAAAGAGCAUUUGAUUAAAAGUAUAAAAUAUCCUAGGUCAGAUGGCUCACUGUAGUUGCAGGGGAGACAGUGAAUUGCUGACCAUGCACUGUGAUACAUCAAAAUAUAGGGACAUUCAGGCACCUCCUCAGCCUACUGAAUCAGGAUCUUUGGGGUGAGUCUAGAAAACAGAUUUUUAAGUACAGGUUUUAAUAUGAUAAUAAGUGGUGCCUGUUAUUAAUGGGAGGACAUUGAAUCCCAGAGAGAAUGAAUGACUCACUCAUGUUCUUCUCAUAGUUAGGGGUCAGCUAGACCUAGAACCUCACUUGGACCCACUAGACACCUUUCCACGCCCUCACCACAAUCACUGCCAACUGCUAUUCCAGCACAAUUCUUGCCAAGAAAAUACCUGCUGUCAUGUGACAGGUAUCAGCACACUUUAGGAGCAGUCAAGACAACUUCCUAAGAAGGUAAACUAUAUUUUCCCAACUUACCAAAUUAGAGUAAGAAGAAUAGAUUUCUUCCUUUAAUCUGGCUUUGUCUCAGACUGGAAGUGCUCUCUUGUCCAGUUAGAAACUAAUCGUGAUAAAAUUAGUAGGCCAGAAGGACACUCAUGGCCCAUCUUUAACAGGAUUUAUAGCCCUGGUUCCUUUUCUUGUUGCCUCUGUGGAAAUGUGCAAGCAUACACAUAGUUAGGAAGGUUUGAAGGAAAUGCCUUAGAGAAGUCUCAGUGACCAAGAAAAGCUAGUCAAAUUGCCAGCUUCGGCCACAGCCAUGUGUUAAAAUGCUCUGCAGACCCAAGUGUGAUCAUGAAACAAGUACAGCAAGAACAGCAGGUCUGUAAACAUCCUGAUGACAAUGGGGAACAAACAGCUGGGCCGAGACCAGAUCGGUUCAGGCAAAUGUGCUCGUGCUUUUGAUCCAAGUGCAAGAUGAGCGGAUGCAGGGGAGGCGGCAGCUGCGGCACAGCUGGACUCAGGAGGCAUGUGAUAGCGUGACUUGCAAAUCAUGCUGGAAAAAUUCAUUCUACUAAGCUUGGACGUGAACACAGUCACGUGGGGCCCAUCAGCUCACACACUGCAGCCAAGAGCGAGACAGAAAUGCAACCGGGCUAAUAAGAGGCGUCAGGCCCACUUCUAGUUGGACACGGCUGUCUUUCAGGGAAGGAAUGGGACAGGAAAUGCACUAUAUUUGGAAAUGACUCUAAAUUUAGAAUGAAAGACUGACUUGAGAAUACUGAAAACUUGAUUGAGAGAUACUUAAAUGUAUUUUAUAAGCAUGGAAGGCAUUUACUGGGGUCUCUACCAUAGUGUUUUUUGCUUGUUUGUUUGUUCGUUGAAGACAAGGUCUCACUGUGUCACCCAGACUGGAGUGCAGUGGCACAAUCACAGCUCACUGCAGCCUCAACCUCCUGGGCUCAAGUGUUCCUCAUGCGUCAGCCUCCAGAGUAGCUGAGGCUACUUGACCACAGGCAAGCACCACAUGCCUGGCUAAUUAAAAAAAUUUUUUUUUGUAGAGAUGGUAUCUCCCUGUGUUGCCCUGGCUGGUCUCAAACUCUUGGGCUAAAGUGAUCCUUCCACUUCAGCCUCCUAAAGUGCUGGGAUUGCAGUUGGGAGCCACAGCUCCUGGCUUCAUAGUGUUUAAUAUGAAAGGCUAUUCUGAUCUUUCCUACUGGUCUAGCACUUUGGGGUUUGCAAAGAGCCUUACAUUCACUUUCACUUCACCAAUGAGUAAAUAAGCCUCAGAAAAACUGAGUAAAUACUAGAGCUCCAGUGGCGCAAUCGGUUAGCGCGCGGUACUUAUACAGAAAAACUGAGUAAAUACUGAAUGUAUGUGUGUGUAGACAUACAAUAUUACAUGAUGUGCUAUUAAUAUAGCAUGUGUAUAUAUACUGUUUUACACAUAUUUAUAUAUAUUAUCAUACUAUAUAUGCAUAUAUGCAUACUAUUAUAAUCAUUCAUUUAACAAAUAUUUAUUGAGCAAUUACUUAGGUACCGGGCACAGUGCAGUAUAUCAACAAGGGUAAGGGAUGCAGACAUUGCAACUCUCAUGGAACUCAGAGCCUAGUUAGGAAGAAAACCAUUGCAUAAACAAUCACAACAUAAAUAUGAUUAGAGUCUGGAGUAAGUGCUACAAAAGAAAAGUCUAAGAGGUCACAAGAGUAUAAGAAGAGGGUCUGCCUUGCCUGGAGCAUCAGAUGCUCCCCUGAGGAAGGAGCCUGUGAGCUGAGCGGUCCGGAUGAGCAGGUGUUUUCUACAGUCUGUGCAUUGUGUCUGCUGAGAAUCUGGAAAUUAAAAAUGCUGCUGUUGGGGGUUUCACCAUGUACGGACGAGGCAGGAGUUCCUCCAAAAAAUACAAAUUCCAUGAGGUUAAAUCAGACCUCUCAGCCCCAAUCAAAAGGUAAGGACUUCGUGGAAGCUAAGGUCAAAGUCCAAUCGAUUUAAUAGACCCUGAGAAUGUAACAUCCUAUGGAAGCUGAAAUCUAAGUGCAGGUUAGUUCUCCCAAUUGCUUUCUGCCCUUUAAGGUUAGAGAAAGAUGACAGCAAGAAGCAUAAAACUCAGUUGUGGCUCUCAGAGCAGUCCUUGUUUUGAGGUUUUCUUUUUUCUGUCUUCUCCUUUCCCCCCUGUCUCCUCUCUGUCUUUGUCCUCCUUCCUCUACCUUCUUUAUUUUUCACUGUUAUAGAUUAGUACCAUCUAUUCUAUUAAUAUUGACUAUAAAUGCAUGUUUUCUUCAUGUUAAAUGCCUAUCAAUUGUCUUCUACCUUCCAAAAGUUAAAAAUGUAUAUAUGAUAUGGCAAAACUUGUGCUAGAUCACAAAAGCAAGCUUUCAUUUUGAUUUACACAGGUAUGUGUGUACACACAAACACACUAAAUACAAAGGGUUGCUGCUAUAGGCUAGCAUAAAUAGCUUCCUGAUUCUUAACACAUCAGGUAAUAUAAAUUCUGGUAAGCUCAGACUGCCUCUAUAUGUUCAUAUCAAUUAGCCUUAAGGGUCUUUUUCUGAAGCACACGGUAAAAUCAACACAGCAUUAGGAGCUAUUUUCUCAAAAACAAAGAGUUUGAAUUCUUGCUGUAGUAGUUCUGAAGUAAAAGAGAGGCUCCUUGCCCCUCGUUGUUCAAAGUCAUCCAUUUCCAACAGGCGAGGGCAUCAACAAUUUGGCAGAGGCAGGUAAAAAAGAGCCAGGGGAACCCAAGUGAAAUUUCAACACAGCGGUUGCCUUGGAACCCAUUUGGAGGUUAACUUGCUCUUGUUUCUCCAGCAUUUCCUUGCUGAAGGAAAUUUGUACUCCAAUUCCAGCCGCGUUCCAACUCCAAUAAAACAGUGAUAAGAUGCCCUGGAGGGUUGCAGCCAAGCCUGUGGGUGCAAACAGGGUCAAAUCACAUCAUGGGAAUGAGAUGGGAUUCUACAUAGUUUGAGUGUUGACUGUUUUCCUCUUGCCAACAGUGGGACGUUUGUUCUCAUUGUUAAAUAAUUAAAUAGGCAGUUUGUAUUUAUUUAACAUACAGACUGUAGCCAAUUCCUGCUGACAGCUACCAAAAUAACCCCAUAUUUCCUAGCUCUGAAUGGCUCAGAAGACUGUUUCCUGACUGCGGGAGCAUCACCGCAGAGCAAAACUCUCCUCCAAGUCUCCGAACACCUUUUUCAUCACUUUAAACAAUAAAUCAAUUCACAGCAUGUGAUCCAAAAACAACAGCCCAGUUUUAUUGGAUGAGGUUCAUUCCCAUUCUCUCAGGCACUCCUUCACUACCAGCACUGAGCUGUCUUGAAGCUGUACUUGGCUGUGGAUGGAAAAAAAAAAUCUACUAGUUUUCCUCAUUUACACUUGCCCAUUAAAAAAAGUGAAUUGUGACCUAAUAACUUAAAAAAGAAAAAAAAAAAGAAGAAUUAUAACUUGGAGGAGAAAGUAGAAAGUUUGGGAGAAGCAGGCCAAUCAGGAAGUCAGGGGAAACAAGUAUUUAAAUGUGGAGGUGGGUAGUCCUUGGAGCUUGGGAAUGAUUCAAGAUAAGGUAGAGACUCUCACUGGUCUCCUAAGGUGGUCAACAUGGCAGAGGGAAGAAACUGAGCAGUCAAAGAUAGCAUCCUCUGUGGAGGGUGGUGCUAAGAGAGAUUCUAGAACCAUUUACACAUGAUCAAUGCUUUGAUCCUGUCAUGUGUAUCAGAAGAGAUGUAGACCAGGCCGGGCAUGGUGGCUCACGCCUGUAAUCCCAGCACUUUGGGAGGCCAAGGUGGGCAGAUCACUUGAGGCCAGGAGUUCGAGACCAGCCUGGCCAACGUGGUGAAACACUGUCUCUACUAAAAAUACAACAACAAUUAGCUGGGCGUGGUGGCACGUACCUGUAAUCCCAGCUACUCGGGAGGCAGAGGUUGCAGUGACUGAGAUUGCACUACUGCACUCCACUCUGGGUGACAGAGAGAGACUCUGUCUCAAAAAAAAAAAAAAAAAAAAAAAAAAAAAAAAAAAAAAAAGGAGAUAUAGACCAGACUCCUCUUGAAAUUUCCUGGUAUUUGUAGUGUCUGAGGCAUUCAGACAGUAGGUGCUAAAGACUUAUCCCUAGGAGUCCGGAGUCCCACUUAAGUGGAAGAAGGAAGCGAUUUUCCCUGUCCUAAGUGGCUAGCUACCAGCCAGCAGCCAGGCGAUGUGUGGGUACUGACAUACCACAGCAUCUUCCUCUCGAUGCUCCCACUAAUGUGGCCACCAAAGGUCCACCCUAGAGGAAACAGCAAUGAAAGGAAACAGGACAAAAGACCCCGUGGCAAGAAAAAAGAUGGCCUAAUUUUUUCUUUCUCACCAUUCCUCUUGUCCUCUUAACCCAUCUCUUUACUGUGCAAUUUGCACUUUGAGUGGCUCUACAGAUGGUGGAUACAGUGAAGACCUCUGUUAUCAAUAUUAAAACUGAGCAUCAGUGAGUCAACAAGGCUCCACUUUGUCCUGUUCAACUUUAGCAGCACCACAGAGAUCAGAACUAAGUAAAGCCAUUUACACAAUUAAGGAGGAGGCUGCCUUUUAGAGUGGCACAAGCAUUUCCUCUGGAGUAGUGUGUCUGAACCAGGAAGUCCCUCUCUGCCUUGUCUGUGGAUUUUAGACAGUCUGAAUUCAGUUUCUUCUUCUGUGAAAUAGAUCAGCCCCACUUGUACUGUCAUAGUAUUGCUCUGAGUAUGGAAAAGGACAAUGGAAAAUGAGGUGCUCUGUAUUCUGUUAUUUGUCAUUAGUUGUGUUCUACUAACCAAACUUUAGGCAUGGUGGAGUUCAUUUCUGCCUCUUCUGGAGAUAGGAAACUAUAGAACUAACUUCAGAUGUAGAUUUUUUUAAAGUUGUCACUCUGUCCCUUUUCUUGUUUGUAAAAGGAGGAAGUGCUUCUGUGUGCCCUCCAAGGCUUCUUCCAACCUUCCAAAAAAAGAAAAAAAAGGCAGACAGUCCAUUCAAGGAUGGCAAUCAUGAAAUCUUGACCUACUUUGGAAUGAGAGGCAACAUCUAAGAAAACCUCAGCUUAAUCUCUAUUAGCUCACCACAGAAGCAUAUAUUCUGGGCUAAGAUCUCUCAGAAGCUGGGCCAUGGCCAUGGCAUGUGCUUAAAGCAUAAUAAAAUGGAUGUGGAAAAAAGAGGAGUGUAUCCCACCUGCUCAUUAUCUGGGGCCAUAUUCCUAGCAGGGUAGUUCAACUAUUCACAGCCAAGAAACAUUUUUGAUCAGAGUCCAAAUCUCCAUCCAGAAACAGGUUCCUGGCAUACCACUCAUGCCCCUGUAAUCAAUUCCCUGGACUGUGAAUCAAGUGACUACUGCCAGAGCAAUGGAGUUGGAUUGUUGACUUUUUGACAGGUCUCUCGCCUCUUUCUGCAUCUUAUGUCUUCCCCGCUCUCCUUCUUGCCCCACCUACUGAAGCCCUCUACCUUCAUCCCUUUUCUCCCUUACCAAUCUCUCCUCCCUCCAUUUUUUCCUUUCUCUGCACCUCAGCUGAUGGCAGAUACUAUUUUUCAUACUUCUAAGCUUGCAUCAGUAUCAACACAGCCAGAUUCACUCACAUUUCCCUCCCCCUCCUCCCUCCCUGUCCCACUCCAAUUCUUUCCAAGGAGAACUUGGGGAUUGUGUCCAAACUGGGACUGAAUACAACCAACGAGGAACCCGAUGAUCCAAGUCCCACCCCCACAGCACACUAUAAUCCAGCACUGUAUAGAGCAGUUCACAGAACCAAAUAUAAAGCCCUUAUUAAGAAUAAACAUGUUGGCUGGGUGUAGUGGCUCAUGCCUAUAAUCCCAACACUUUGGGAGGCUGAGUUGAGUGGAUAACUUGAGUCCAGGAGUUCAAGACCUGCCUGGGCAACAUGGUGAAGCCCUGUCUUUACGAAAAAUCCAAAAAAAAAAAAAGAUUAGCUGGGCAUGGGGCAUGCGCCUGUAGGCCUAGCUACUUGGGAGGCUGAGGUGGGAGGAUAGCUUGAAUCCAGGAGGUUGAGCUGCAGUUAGCCAUGAUUGCAUCACUGCAUUCCAGCCUGGGCAACAGAGCAAGAUCCAGUCUAAAACAAAAAAACAAAAAAAGAAGAAUGAACAUUAUUCCAUAUGGAGACUUAGCCUCUGUCAGUUAGACCCCUUGACAUCCAUAACACAGAACUGGAAACUGGACAAUGGGCAAAGAAAGAAAAAUCACAGGUUCAGGUUACAGAAAAGAAGGCAGGGAGAAAGGGCAAGUUAAUCUAAAUACUGGGUAAGAGACAAAAAGCUAAAUGAGAUGGAGGAGCAUUCCGUGGUGGGAGUGGGAGGUGUUAGUAAACAGGGGCUGUGGAGCAACAUGGGUCCAGGAGAGUUGGGGAGACAGAAAAGGACAUAUGAAAAGUGUUGCCAGCUGGUAAGUUACAUCCUCAUAACUUCUUCUUAAGACAUAGAAAUUAGAGGCUAAAUUCCUUUUUCAUUACUUUUGACUGAUCUGUAAGUUUGUGAAUAUAAAUCUCUGGAAACUGAGGCACAUGGUCAAGGAGGCACACAGGCUACACGCUGGAGUUUAGGUAACUCUCAGAUCUUCUGAGCCAUCUUCAGAUUAAUCUCAGAUCAAAGAGGUUUAGAAAGGGAGAUGAUCUUCAGGAAUCUCCCUUACAAUACACUCUCAUCAGAUGCAUUUUUCAAAGGACAUUUGCUUUAGCAGAAUUGGAGAGAGAUAAAUCGCAGCCCUGUGCAUUCGAUACUUGAUACAUCCUUCCUCCACUGAGAAGCUAAUGCUCUAGUUCUGGGUUUACCUGAAGCCAUUAGGAGAGCUAAAACUCCAUGUAGUGUGCUCUGCUAAAAGUAAGUGGAUUUCGGAGCUAGAAGAAGAAUUCUCUCUCUCUGUAGUUCAAAUGGCAUUCAGAAAUCCAAUUAACGUUGGUUUUUCUAAAGCAGAAUCUGUAAUUGUGUCCAAUACUGCCAACUGUUCAGUUCGAUAAUAAAACAGGCUAUUCUUAAGAUGGCCUGUAGUCAUUAGGGAAAGUCUAGCUCUGUAGGAUACAAUUUCUCUUUGGAAUAAUAUAUGUGAUGUUUUUAUAAUUUCUUUCAUCCAAGCAUUUCAAAGCAUUUUAAAAUAAUUUGGAGACACAGGAUAUAUAUUUUUCAUAAAUUAAGCUACAUAUGUCAAUACUUUGCCUAGGGACAGAAAUUAAUUAUUCCACAGAAGUGAUGCUGGUAUCUAAUCUUAUUACAUUUAUACUGUAAAAGUAUCAUUAUUAAUAAUUAUGACAGCUAUUAUUUAUUGAAAGCAGAAUGCUUAUCCUGUUAGGCAUUGUGUUAAGUGCUUUGCGUGUAUUAUCUCAUUUAAUCUUCCCAUGAAUCCAAUUCUAAAUCUAAUCCCAUUUCAGUAUGAUUCUAUGAGUAAAGUACUACUUCUAUCCUUUUUUCACAAAUGGUGUCAAUUAGGUUCAAAAAAGUUUAAGUAGCAUGCCCAUUGUCACAUCGCUAGUAAGAAUGGUGGAGCAUCUCUUAUUGGGGAGGACCAGUUAUUAAGAGUUCCGAUGGUCAAUUUCCUUUUCAAAUGUCACUUGUGUGGCAUAUUGUGCAGCCUGUUUGAUCAUGAAGAGAUGGCCUUCUUAAUUCUAGAACCGUGUGGCUAAAAUCUUUGCUAAUUCUUGAAUGUACCAAGGGCUCUACUGUCUCUCAACACCUUGUAAGUAAAGAAAACUUAAGGGUGAUUUUUAAAGUAUGGCAAAGAACAACCUUUCUCAACUGUCAGACAGUUCUCUAGAUCACAACUAUAGCACAUACCAUACCAAAAAUUACAAAAUUUGGAAACAUAAAGUUGUCAUCUUCCUCCUGGGUUAUUGCAGUGUCCUAAUUGUUCUCCUUGCUUCUCAUUUUGCCCCCUUGGAAUAAAACCCAUGGCUAAAUGUUUUAGCCUAGCUUACCAGUAAUCUGAUCUCAUCUUAUGCCACGCUCUUCCUAACCCACUCUAUUCCAGCCACACUCACUCAGCCUUUUCCAGCUCUUCAAACACACCAAGUUCUUCUUGCCUUUAUACAUACUAUCAUCUCCUGUUGAAACUUCAUACUCCUGCUCUUCUCCCAUAUUCCUUCCUCCUAUUUCUUGGCUCUUAAAUGUUAUAAAUGGUGUUCAGUCACAUACACACACACAUUCACAAACACACACCCCACGUCUAAAUUACACCCUGUUUUUCCUUCAUAGCUCUUAUCCAUAUUUACAGUUUUCUGUUGUUUUGAGUACUUUGUCUAAUGAGUGUCUCUUCAAUUGGACUAUAAGAUCCAUGAGGGAAAAUUUCAUAUCUCUUCAUUUACCAUUGUAUUCCCAGUGCCUGAUACACUGCCUGACUAUAUUAGAAGCCAGUGAACUAUUUCAUAAGUUGAGUGACUCUAAGUUUGAUUCCUUAUCAACCACCUAAUUGCUGUGUGACCUUUGGAAAUGCAUAUUCAACUUCUUCUCUGAGUGUCAGUCUUUUCAUCUGUUAAAUGGGGCUCACAAUACCUAUAUUACAGGAUCUACAUGGAGAAGAUGUAUGCUAAUAUAUAUAAAAUGCUUCAAAAAUUGUUAAACCUUGUAGAAUCUCGAACUUUAAAUUCAGUAUCGCCCCAUUGAAGCUAAGGGUGUUUCCGCCAGUUUAGUAGGCUAAACUUGCAGAAGGAGCAGACUUUGGACAGCAUGUGGGCAAUUUUCACAAGGCGUUUAACUGGGCUUCAAGCCCAGGGCACUCAGAGGCUCAGCAAGGAGUGAAAUAGGGCCAGCUCGCCCCCCGAGGGGUCCAUCGGUCCCUUGACUAAGCUGGUAUGCUUAUGUUGUGUAUUUGUGCAUCAUAAACACAGCCAUCUAUCUGGUUUUUUGUCCUCUUUUCUGACUGACUUCUCACUCAAAGCACAAAGAAAAAGAAAGGAAAUGCAAAGUCAUGUGCAUCAACAGAGCCUAUAUCUUUGAGUAUCUUAGUGACUUGGGAUUAUUUUAAGGGAAAAAAUAUGGGAAAGUUCUGCAGGGACCUAACACACAUGGCUGGCUAUCAUCUAUACUCCAAGUAGACAUCGCUUUCUUAACUGUUGUAGUUGUUUGGAAGGAAGGGUGUGUCUGAUGCAGCCUAGAACUUUUCCCAGGGAUUUUGGGGAAAGCUCUCUUCCUUCUUAUUGAUCUGGAUUUGAAAAAGCAAUAAUAUCUAAAACUACGUUAGGGGAAAGGUCAGAAAAGAGAAGUCACCUGAUAGAGAAAGGGUCAAGGUAGACAGAGGUCACCAGUGGAGACUAAGGUCUAAGACAUAUGGUUUCCUUUGACUUUCUUCUCCUCACCAGUGGGUAAAGUGGUGAACUGGAUAUCAGCAUUCUUGGAAACUCCUGGAAGUUUUCUAAUUCUCUACAGAACCAUGAAGUGAACAGGGCACUUCAAAGAAUACUUGAUCCAUAGCCCUUGCUUUUUCAUAGGUUAGUCUCUGAAACAAAUGAGAAAGUAAUUCACAUUAUAAGUGGUAUUCCAAAAACAACAGCCAUUUGGGAUUCUUAUCUGGUAUUGAGGGGUAGACAGGAUUUUUCCAAGCUUGAAUAAAAGUCCCAGGAUCUGCUAGACACGGGGAAUUUACCCUCUCUUCUUCACCCAUGUGAAAUCUCACUCCACGACCAUUCCCUGACCUAGGCCCCAUCAUCUCCUGCUUGGGCCACUUCAAGAGACUCCUAAGCAACUUUUCGCUUCUGGUCUGGUGCCUGCUCCACUUCACCCCCAAUCCAUUCACACUUUACCCAGAGUGAUCUUUCUGAAACAAAUCUAAUCAUACAAACCCUGCUUGAAUGUCUUCCAUCAUUCUCCACGGUUGUGGAGGUAAAGUCCACACUGUAACAUGGCCUAUGAGGCCUUCCUACCUCACCAGCAUCAUCUCGUAUAAUUCUUCCCAUAUCUCACCAUCCACCUCGGCCCACCUCUUAUUAUUCAGGCAUGCUGUUCUUAAGGCAGGUCCUGAACAGGCUGUGCUCUCUUGGGACUCUAGGUCUUUACAUAUCUGUGAAUUAUAAAGUUCACCUUCUCACUACUAUUAUUCAAAACAUUUUCUUGGAGCUCUUUCAUUGCGCUUAACAUUGUACUUGGCAGUAGAACAGACAGACAGGUAAACAAGUAGUUACAGUUCAGAUAUUACAGAGGACAAAAUGUAUAAAUGUGAUAGAAGCCAGAGAAAGGGGCAACUAAUUUGGUCAGGGCGGAGCAAAGGAAAGCUUCACAAGAAGAGAAGACCAAUCACAUUAGCUCAUGUUUAGUGAACAUUUACUUAGCUCUGAGCUAAAGUGUUUUACAAAUGUUAUCUUAUCAAAUUAUCAAAAUAACUCUAGGAAAUGGAUACUGUCAGGAGAGAGGAGAGCAUAACAGUUAAGCACAUGAGUUAGGCCUCAGCUUAAACCCUGUCUCUACCACUUAGAAGAUUUCUAGCCUUGAGCAAGUUGUUUAACUCCCAAGGCAUUUUUGUCAACUUCAAAAUGGAGAUAGAUAAUAGUUUUUUUAAAAAAAUUAGUUCUGGCUGGGCGCGGUGGCUCACGCCUGUAAUCCCA